Molecule: transfer RNA, 90 nt
Filed under: Actinomycetes bacterium
Lineage: Bacteria; Bacillati; Actinomycetota; Actinomycetes
Also listed under: 1 other name
Description: Actinobacteria bacterium tRNA-Ser
Rfam family: tRNA
About the family: Transfer RNA (tRNA) molecules are approximately 80 nucleotides in length. Their secondary structure includes four short double-helical elements and three loops (D, anti-codon, and T loops).
Source: RNAcentral
GGAGGGGUGGCAGAGCGGUUGAAUGCGCCGGUCUUGAAAACCGGUAGGGGCCAUCUCGGUCCCUCGUGGGUUCGAAUCCCACCCCCUCCG